GAUGAACGCUGGCGGCGUGCCUAAUACAUGCAAGUCGAGCGAACAGACGAGGAGCUUGCUCCUCUGACGUUAGCGGCGGACGGGUGAGUAACACGUGGAUAACCUACCUAUAAGACUGGGAUAACUUCGGGAACCGGAGCUAAUACCGGAUAAUAUAUUGAACCGCAUGGUUCAAUAGUGAAAGACGGUUUUGCUGUCACUUAUAGAUGGAUCCGCGCCGCAUUAGCUAGUUGGUAAGGUAACGGCUUACCAAGGCAACGAUGCGUAGCCGACCUGAGAGGGUGAUCGGCCACACUGGAACUGAGACACGGUCCAGACUCCUACGGGAGGCAGCAGUAGGGAAUCUUCCGCAAUGGGCGAAAGCCUGACGCAGCAACGCCGCGUGAGUGAUGAAGGUCUUCGGAUCGUAAAACUCUGUUAUUAGGGAAGAACAAAUGUGUAAGUAACUAUGCACGUCUUGACGGUACCUAAUCAGAAAGCCACGGCUAACUACGUG
RNAcentral lists this ribosomal RNA (496 nucleotides) under uncultured bacterium. RNAcentral's name for it is "partial 16S ribosomal RNA". It matches the Rfam family "Bacterial small subunit ribosomal RNA", at positions 28 to 507 of the family's 1533-position model. The record is from RNAcentral.